This 1260-nucleotide long non-coding RNA is filed under the name Canis lupus dingo (dingo). RNAcentral's name for it is "lncRNA (ENSCAFG00020015697.1)". Lineage: Eukaryota; Metazoa; Chordata; Mammalia; Carnivora; Canidae. The record is from RNAcentral.
AUGCAGGGGGGCGGUGGCGGUAGUGGUGUCUGCUCAGUGGCAGGCCUAACUCUGCACCCUGCUCGGCCACCGGGCACAGACUGCCUGUCCCUGGUCAUGAGCUCCACACCCCCAUGGCCCUGGAGGCCCCAACCCAUCCAGGGCGCAUUCCCCACUAACAGGGGUCCCAGUCAGUUACCCCGCAGCCAGGCCAGCUGGUGGGGUGGCCCGGCCCGUGGAGGCCGCACAGCAACCGGCAGUGGUGGGUGCAACCCCAUGGGGCCCCGGAGGGCUGUGGGGGCCUGCUCAGCCCGCCACCGAGCGCCAGGGAAGCCACCAGGGGCAGCGCCGGGCGGGGCUCGGGGCCUGAGGCUCCUGGUGCCCCGCAGACCACCUGGCCGGGGUGCUGGGCUGGCUGGGCUACACUCGCAGCCCCGCGUCCGGAGCCCCGCACCCGCAGAUGCAGCCCUGCGCCCGCAGCCCCACACCCGAGCCCCGCACCCGAGUCCCGCACCCGAGCCCCGCACCUGGAGCCCCGAACCCGAGCCCUGCACCUGCACCCGGAGCCCUGUGCCCGCAGCCCCGCACCCGGAGCCCCACACCCGAGCUCCGCACCUGGAGCCCCGCACCUGCAGCCCCACACCCGCACCCAGAGCCCCGCACCUGCAGCCCCACACCCGCACCCAGAGCCCCACACCCGAAACCCCGCACCCAGAGCCCCGCACCUGCAGCCCCACACCCGCACCCAGAGCCCCGCACCCAGAGCCCCACGCCCAGAGCCCCGCACCUGCAGCCCCGCACCCGCACCCAGAACCCCGCACCCAGAGCCCCGCACCCGAGCCCUGCACCUGCAGUCCUGCACCCAGAGCCCUGCACCCCAGCCCCGCGCGGAGGCCCCGAGGAGGCCCCGAGGAGGCCCCGGCCCGGAUUCAUCCCCGGCUGCGCGCGGCACCCACCAGGACGCCGGGGGCUCAGGCGCUGUGGCCCGGCCCGGCCCUGCCUCCCGUCCCGCAGGGUGCGAGGCCUCGGCGUGGCGCCCGGGGCUGGGGUCGGGACCUGGCCGAGUCCCCGCCGGCCGCGCCUGCACUACCUCGAGCUCCGCGUCUCGCGCUCGGGCCGCCCCGCCGAGACCAGGCCCCGCGUGGGUGUCCGUGCGCGGCCCCCCUGCCCCCCCCCCCCCCCGUGAGUUCUAGAGACUUCUCUGGCCGAGUCCUCCCGCCACGAAGGCCGCCCCAGCCCGGGGAUCCCCCUUCUUGGGCCCAGGUGGCCGGUCCAAGUUGA